This is an RNA transcript of Tupaia belangeri chinensis (Chinese tree shrew), 360 nucleotides long. RefSeq lists it as uncharacterized. Lineage: Eukaryota; Metazoa; Chordata; Mammalia; Scandentia; Tupaiidae. The transcript has 3 exons. The record is from RefSeq and is a predicted model, not a curated record.
CUCCACGGUCACCCUCCCCGGCCCCCAGCCCUGCCGGCCACAUGCCUGCUUCCCAUGCUGGUUCCCGAUGUCCCUCUAUAUCCGGGGCCUUUGCUUAGUGUCCCCGAGGUCUGCGUGUGCUGUGACGCAUGUCAGAGCCUCGCUCCUGCUCGCGGCGUGUUCCCUUGCAAGGCUGGACCGCGUACUGUCACCCCGCCUGAAUCAUCCCCAAUGCAGGACACCUGGUAAACUUGCGAGAGCCGGAGACCUACCUGGAAAUCAGCCAUUUUUUCCAAGGCCUUUUGACAGGGCAGACGUCUCCUAACAUUUCCUGGACGAAGUCACCGACGGCGAGUUCAGGCUCCCUCACUGUCUACACCG